This 588-nucleotide ribosomal RNA is filed under the name uncultured bacterium. RNAcentral describes it as "bacterial SSU rRNA". It matches the Rfam family "Bacterial small subunit ribosomal RNA", at positions 900 to 1484 of the family's 1533-position model. The record is from RNAcentral.
UUCAAAGGAAAUUGAACGGGGGGCCCCGCACAAACGGAGGGAACAUGUGGGUUUGAAAUUAGAUGAUACGCCGAGGAACCCUAACCAGGGCUUGAAUUCCAGAAGAAGGAUGCAGAAAUGUUGACGCCCCUUUCGGGGCCUCUGUGAAAGUGGAUGCAUGGUUGUGGUCAGCUCGUGCCGUGAGGUGUCGGAUUAAGUGCCAUAACGAGCGCAACCCUUGCUGUCAGUUGCCAUCAGGUAGAGCUGGGCACUCUGGCGGGACUGCCAUCGCAAGAUGUGAGGAAGGUGGGGAUGAAGUCAAAUCAGCACGGCCCUUACGUCCGGGGCUACACACGUGUUACAAUGGGGGGUACAGAAUGUUGCUUACGGGUGACCGUUGGCGGAUCAUUAAAUCCCCUAUCAGUUCGGAAUGGAGUCUGCAACCCGACUCCACGAAGCUGGAUUUGUUAGUAAUCGCGCAUCAGCCAUGGCGCGGUGAAUACGUUCCCGGGCCUUGUACACACCGCCCGUCAAGCCAUGAAAGCCGGGGGCGCCUGAAGUCCGUUACCGCAAGGAUCGGCCUAGGGCGAAACUGGUAAUUGGGGCUAA